RNAcentral lists this ribosomal RNA (921 nucleotides) under Schizomida sp. WAM T122051. RNAcentral describes it as "SSU rRNA". It matches the Rfam family "Eukaryotic small subunit ribosomal RNA", at positions 24 to 944 of the family's 1831-position model. The record is from RNAcentral. Lineage: Eukaryota; Metazoa; Arthropoda; Arachnida; Schizomida.
UCAUAUGCUUGUCUCAAAGAUUAAGCCAUGCAUGUCUAAGUACGUGCCUAAGAAAGGUGAAACCGCGAAUGGCUCAUUAAAUCAGUUAUGGUUCCUUAGAUCGUACCUUACUACUUGGAUAACUGUGGUAAUUCUAGAGCUAAUACAUGCAGCAGAGCUCCGACCUUCGGGGACGAGCGCUUUUAUUAGACCAAGACCAAUCGGACUUCGGUCCGAAGCUCAUGGUGACUCUGGAUAACUUUGGGCUGAUCGCACGGUCUCGUACCGGCGACGCAUCUUUCAAGUGUCUGCCUUAUCAACUUUCGAUGGUAGGUUAUGCGCCUACCAUGGUCGUAACGGGUAACGGGGAAUCAGGGUUCGAUUCCGGAGAGGGAGCCUGAGAAACGGCUACCACAUCCAAGGAAGGCAGCAGGCGCGCAAAUUACCCACUCCCGGCACGGGGAGGUAGUGACGAAAAAUAACAAUACGGGACUCUAUUGAGGCCCCGUAAUUGGAAUGAGUACACUCUAAAUCCUUUAACGAGGAUCUAUUGGAGGGCAAGUCUGGUGCCAGCAGCUGCGGUAAUUCCAGCUCCAAUAGCGUAUAUUAAAGUUGUUGCGGUUAAAAAGCUCGUAGUUGGAUCUCAGUUCCAGACGGGUGGUCCACCCCUGGUGGUUACUGCCUGGCCUGAACAAAUCCAGCCGGUUUUCCUUGAUGCUCUUCACCGAGUGUCUUGGGUGACCGGCACGUUUACUUUGAAAAAAUUAGAGUGCUCAAAGCAGGCGUGACGCCUGAAUAAUGGUGCAUGGAAUAAUGGAAUAGGACCUCGGUUCUAUUUUGUUGGUUUUCGGAACACGAGGUAAUGAUUAAGAGGGACAGACGGGGGCAUUCGUAUUGCGACGCUAGAGGUGAAAUUCUUGGACCGUCGCAAGACGAACUACU